UACGUAGGGGGCUAGCGUUGUCCGGAAUCAUUGGGCGUAAAGAGCGUGUAGGCGGCCCGGUAAGUCCGCUGUAAAAGUCAAAGGCUCAACCUUUGAAUGUCAGUGGAUACUGCCGGGCUAGAGUCCGGAAGAGGCGAGUGGAACUCCUGGUGUAGCGGUGGAAUGCGCAGAUAUCAGGAAGAACACCAACGGCGAAGGCAGCUCGCUAGGACGGUACUGACGCUGAGGAGCGAAAGCGUGGGGAGCGAACAGG
RNAcentral lists this ribosomal RNA (253 nucleotides) under uncultured bacterium. Its description in RNAcentral is "partial 16S ribosomal RNA". It matches the Rfam family "Bacterial small subunit ribosomal RNA", at positions 524 to 776 of the family's 1533-position model. The record is from RNAcentral.